This 497-nucleotide ribosomal RNA is filed under the name uncultured bacterium. RNAcentral's name for it is "partial 16S ribosomal RNA". It matches the Rfam family "Bacterial small subunit ribosomal RNA", at positions 28 to 507 of the family's 1533-position model. The record is from RNAcentral.
GAUGAACGCUGGCGGCGUGCCUAAUACAUGCAAGUCGAGCGAACAGAUGAGGAGCUUGCUCCUCUGACGUUAGCGGCGGACGGGUGAGUAACACGUGGAUAACCUACCUAUAAGACUGGGAUAACUUCGGGAAACCGGAGCUAAUACCGGAUAAUAUAUUGAACCGCAUGGUUCAAUAGUGAAAGACGGUUUUGCUGUCACUUAUAGAUGGAUCCGCGCCGCAUUAGCUAGUUGGUAAGGUAACGGCUUACCAAGGCAACGAUGCGUAGCCGACCUGAGAGGGUGAUCGGCCACACUGGAACUGCGCCACGGUCCAGACUCCUACGGGAGGCAGCAGUAGGGAAUCUUCCGCAAUGGGCGAAAGCCUGACGGAGCAACGCCGCGUGAGUGAUGAAGGUCUUCGGAUCGUAAAACUCUGUUAUUAGGGAAGAACAAAUGUGUAAGUAACUAUGCACGUCUUGACGGUACCUAAUCAGAAAGCCACGGCUAACUACGUG